AGUCCGCUCACGCGGUGAUGGGACUCAUGCGCAUGCGCAGAGCUUUGCUCGCCUCAGUUGAGGCUUUCUGUGUUCAGCGGGGCAGGAGCCGAUGGUUCCCGUCACCACCGCUGCCGGUAAGUUCGAGGAGAAGCUUGGAGAAGAUCAUGAUGCUGGGGAAAAUGGAAGAAAAAAGGAAGAGAGGCCGACCAAGGGCGAGAUGGAUGGACGGUAUCCUUGAAGUGACUGGCUUGACCUUGAGGGAACUGGGGGCGGAGACGGCCGACAUGGAGCUCUGGCCUGGACUGGUCCAGGAGGUCACCAAGAGACUGAGACGACUAUGCGACCAAGCAGCAGCAGCAGUGUGAAAUUGCGGACAAGCCCCUUCCAACGGUCAGCACACAACGGCCAGUUAUUUAGGAGGGAAGGCAUUGCAAGAACAGGAGAAGGGAAACAACAGAGACUUUAUGCAAUUUACAGCACGCAUGCUCGAAGGGUACAAGUGUAAAAGCAUAACCAUAAGCAGAAGAUUUUAUAUACAAGGAUUCUCAUGCAUCAACCCUGCUAUGUUUGAAACUCCCUCCCGAGAAGCCGGCCAGUGUCCCCCAGGCCUGUGGUUGGUCAUGCUGGGGAGACAAAGAAAGAGCCCCAAAGAUGUCUAUUGUUGAUGGGAUCGUAAUCAGGGCUUCGUCCUGGACCUCUGUCCCGUGGAUGGCUGAGAUCCCCGAAGGAGGGCUGCUGGCAGUGGGGAGCGGGCCCUUUGUGCCAGAGAUUAUGUCCCACCUCUGGUCCUCACAGCGGGCAUGGAAUGGGUAUCUGGAAUUGCUCCAGAGGGGUGGCUGGAGUUCAUGGGGCUGGGCUGUAGCUCCGCUGGUCAAUCAUCAGCAGUAAUAAGAUCUACCAACCGAAAGGCGGCCAGUUCAAAGCCCAGUCGGGGUGAGCGCUCGACCUCACGCCCAGCUUACUGUUUACCUAAGUAGUUCAAAAACAGCUUAUUUAUUUACAGUAUUUAUAUUCCGUCCUUCUCACCCCAAAGGGGACUCAGGGCGGAUCACAUUACACAUAUAAGGCAACACAUUCAAUGCUUAACAUAGAACAAAGACAAAGACAAACACGGGGCUCCGAGCUGGCCUCGAACUCAUGACCUCUUGGUCAGAGUGAUUUGUUGCACUGGCUGUAGCUGGUUGCUCAACAGCCUGCGCCACAGCCCGGGCUUAGAAGCUGUGAGUAGAGAAAUUUGGUACCGCAAAAAUGUGGGGGAGGCAUUUUAUGACACAAUAAAUAACAAGACCAGAAAUGUGGUGACGGAGAGGAAGGUGGAAGGAGGAAGUCCUGAUGGCUCUUCAUCAUAGAGAAUGGCGCAACAGCACCCCCUGUGGCUGAAUCUGAGCACAACCUCAACCUCCAAGGCACCAAAAACUGGACUUCAAGACUACAUCCCUCCUUCUGUUUGUCUUAUUCUGUUCUGUCCUGUCUGUCCAAAUGGCAUUGACUGUUUGCUGUGUAUGUGUACUGUGAUCCGCCCUGAGUCUCCUUGGGAAGACAGGGUGGAAUAUAAAUAAAGUGUUGUUGUUAUUGUUGUUGUUGUUAUUAUUAUUGGUUCAUGUACAUUUGCCUUCAUUGUAUAGAGUUCAAUAGUAAUAGUUGUCAGAACCCUUCUUCCAGGGCCUGGAUUAUGGCGCCAGAAAUCAGGGUCACUGAUAUUAUGAACUGACUAGCUGUGCCCGGCCACGCAUUGUUGUGGCGAAGUCUGGUGGUAUGGGCAAUAAAGUAUUGAGGAAUUGGUGGUAGUUAAGGUAAAGGGUCAAGGUUUCCCCCUGAUAUUAAGUCCAGUCGUGUCUGACUAUGGGAGUUGGGGCUCAUCUCCAUUUCUAAGCCGAAGAGCCGGCGUUGUCCGUAGACACCUCCAAGGUCGUGUGGCCGGCAUGACUGCAUGGAGCGCCAUUACCUUCUUGCUGGAGCAGUACCUGUUUAUCUACUCUCAUUUGAAUGUUUUCGAACUUCUGGGUUGGCAGAAGCUGGGGCUUUAGAUAAUCUGUGGAAGAGGCCUAAGUGAGGCCUAACUCUGCCUGUCCCCUGGGCUGAGUGGGUUGCUAGGAGACCAAGUGGGCAGAGCUUAGCCUUCUAACUGGCAGCAAUUGGAUAAAAACAAUUAUUCCUCUCCCUCUAAUUAGGACUUUAUUUUUCUUUUCUUUUUGUUGUAUCAACCUAGAGCUGUGGAUGAUGAGUUGUGUUGUCAAAUUUCGAGGCUGGGGGGGCCUGUAGUUCUGUUGUUUUGUCCGCUGCCCUGAUGCCAUCACUCUUUUAUAUAUAUAGAUAAGACACCUGCAACUCGUAACCCUGAGAAGAAAGGCUGCUGGACUUGGCUGAGAAAUUUCGUGGGGUUUUUGUCGGGCAGGAACUAUGUCUUUGAAUGAGGGGGAGGGUAUAUAAAGGAAUGCUGACCGGUGCCUCACAUUCUUGACUUUUGCAUAUCGAUGUUUCCUAUAGUAAAGUUUCUAGAGAUAA
Molecule: long non-coding RNA, 2487 nt
Organism: Anolis carolinensis (green anole)
Lineage: Eukaryota; Metazoa; Chordata; Lepidosauria; Squamata; Anolidae
Exons: 2
Source: RefSeq, a predicted model, not a curated record